AUUGAACGCUGGCGGCAUGCUUUACACAUGCAAGUCGAACGGCAGCGCGGGCUUCGGCCUGGCGGCGUGUGGCGAACGGGUGAGUAAUACAACGGAACGUGCCCAGUAUAGGGGGAUAGCUCGGCGAAAGCCGGAUUAAUACCGCAUACGACCAGAGUUUGAAAGCGGGGGAUCUUCGGAGCCCGCCCGAUUGGAUCUCCCCAUGGCAGAUUAGCUAGUUGGUGGGGUAAAGGCUUACCAAGGCGACGAUCUGUAGCUGGUCUGAGAGGACGACCAGCCACACUGGGACUGAGACACGGUCCAGACUCCUACGGGAGGCAGCAGUGGGGAAUUUUGGACAAUGGGCGAAAGCCUGAUCCAGCAAUGCCGCGUGUGUGAUGAAGGCCUUCGGGUUGUAAAGCACUUUUGGCAGGAACGAAAAGGACUGUGCCAAUACCACGGUUCGAUGACGGUACCCGCAGAAUAAGCACCGGCUAACUACGUG
Molecule: ribosomal RNA, 484 nt
Filed under: uncultured bacterium
Lineage: Bacteria
Description: partial 16S ribosomal RNA
Rfam family: Bacterial small subunit ribosomal RNA
Source: RNAcentral